Mugil cephalus (flathead mullet) is the source of this 499-nucleotide long non-coding RNA. RefSeq lists it as uncharacterized. The record is from RefSeq and is a predicted model, not a curated record. The transcript has 3 exons. NCBI's taxonomy places the organism in Eukaryota, Metazoa, Chordata, Actinopteri, Mugiliformes, Mugilidae.
AUGAUUUAAGGGGGAAAAUGGAGGUCGAAGCUGACUGCGAAGGGGGUUCUCGCCUCCUGCUGUCUGUCCACAGAGCCCGUUUCGACUUCGCAGGAACCACUGAGACUCCACAGCCAUCUCAUCACAAAAAUAGUUAAGGGACCACGUGGACAGGAGCAACCCACGAAACGCUUACCAGACGUUGUGAGGAAUCAACAAAAGCCUUCAUUUUCUGUGACAUGGAUGACGGACGUGCACAUGUCUUUGCUUACUCUGAGUCUGCAGAGCUCCCUCCUCUCACGGUCGUUCUCCUCAGCUCUCGCUCGGAGCCAGGCCUCAUUCUGAGAGCGAUGCCGGUCCAGCAUCUCCUGCAGCUCCUGACACACAGAGCAGCAGCAGCUUUAGACAACUCAGAUUUCUCUCUGGAAAAACAAAAAGAAAUAAAAAAUGACCAAGCUCAGCAGUUACAUGGAUAUUAAAAUUACCACUCAAUACUUGUUCCGUACAUCAACGUGCGUUU